RNAcentral lists this long non-coding RNA (6577 nucleotides) under Heterocephalus glaber (naked mole-rat). RNAcentral's name for it is "lncRNA (ENSHGLG00100036501.1)". The record is from RNAcentral. Lineage: Eukaryota; Metazoa; Chordata; Mammalia; Rodentia; Bathyergidae.
CUGCCUUUGGCAUGUCCCUGCCACCUUGUCACUCCUUUUCCAGGUGCAGCCAGUUAGCAUGCAGGUGGGGAUGUGGGUGGGGGACAGCACCAUCACUGGAUUAACUGCCCCAUUUUACAGAUGGGAAAAUAAGCCCGAGGGAGGAAGAGGUUCACAGACUGGUGCCUCUCGUGCUCCAUUUUUCCUGAAGCAGAGGGAAGGAGGUCACUGAGAGUCACAAAGCGUGGGGCGCUGCAGUUGGAGGCACAGUCCCUGUCCCCAGGUGGACUUGACCUUCUGUGGCUGUGUCUGUGGCCUGCUUCAGAGAAGGCUUGGUGAUGCGAGAACAAUGAAACCAUUCGCCAAGACGGUCGCAGUCGAGGAGAGUGGCUGGGCUGCUGGGCCGUGAGCCAGCAGUGUGAGCUGUGCGUUUCCAUCGUGGCUCCGUCUGGAGAGCUGCUCAGAAACGCGCAGGCAGAGGGGCCCACCCACGGCGCAAGUGGGGUGCGUAGGUAUCCUGAGGCCGGGCUGCCCCGCUGUGCACCUCAUCUCGUUGCCUGUCUCUGGGGACCGUUUGACCUGGCCCUCAGGGCAGGGACUUCCUCCUUCUUAGCAGGGUCCAGUGCUGCCUCCCAUCUGUCACCCAUGCUAACAGUGGCCCCAGCCGAGGGGACACACGCACCCAGCUCGUGUCCCUCUUCCCAGCCAGCCUUCUUUGUCUUGAACACUGGUGAUCAUCACUGGUCACGGUCUCAGUCUACCAGGCUGGAGCAUCUCCUCAGGCCAGCCUGUGCUUCGGGCGCAGGCUCCCCCGAUAGGGACCCACACUGGCUAUUCAUACCCUCUGUGUUAGUGUUAGUCACUUUCCCUUCCCUGGGAUAAAAUACUUGACACCCAAAAUUUAAAAGAGGAGGUGUUUAUUUGGCUCACGGUUUCAGAGGUCCAGUGCAUAGUAGGCUGGCUCCAAGGCAGAAACAGCAUGGUAGAAGGGCCUGGGUGCAGGAAACCUGGUCACAUCAUGGUGGCCAGGAGGCAGAGAGAGAAGGGAGGAGCUGAGGACAAGAACAGACCCUUCCAGGUUAUGGGCCUGGUGACCUGACCUACCCCUCCCCCAGGCCCCACCUCCUGACAGCAUAGAACUCUUCCGUGGAUGAACACAGCGCCCCUGUGAUCCAGUCACCUCCAAAAGCCCCACCUCUGCACAUGGGAGACUUUGGGGGGAUAUUUUAGAUCUAAAUUAUACCACAAUGGUCUUUGCUGUCACCAUCUCUGCUCCCCACCAUGUGGUUUGCCUGCUUCUAGACUCGUGAAGCCCAGGGCUUUGUCUCUUGUACUACUGCCACAGGGACAGUCAAGACACAGGCUAAGGUACUAUUUCUUGCAUGGAAGGAUAGCCAAACAAAAGUCCUGAGACCUUGUCCUCAGGGAGCUCUUUGGCAGAUAGGCCCUGAAGGCUCCAGAGGAAUCGGGGUGGGCGUUCCCAGAUGUGAAAGAUGACCAUGGGCCAGAGUGGCCAAGGAAGGCUGCUCGGAGGAGGGGGCAUUUAAGAGAAGCACUGGGGAUGGAGAGCUUUGGCUACUGCAGGGCAGGGAAGAGGAGGAGGAAGGAUAUGCUGGGCGGUGGAUGGGCAGGAAGAGAGGAAGGGGUGCGUGUGGAGGUUCAGGGGCAGGUCAGCCAGCGCCAGGGACUUCAAGGGAGUAAUGGUGGAGACGUCUACAGGGAUGGUCGGGACCCAAGGGAAGGCAGGGUUGGAGGGAACUUAUCCUGCAGAUGCAGAUUGUGCUGAACAGGAGGGUAGGGACAGAGCAGUGUUUUAGGAGAUUAGUCUGGUGGCAGGGAGCUGCCAGGAUUGGAGGAGACUGGAGCCCGGCUAAUUACACAGGCCUGGGACUCCCUCACGUACCCUCAGUACCAACCUGUCCCCUGCAGUGGUGGGAGGGCUGGGGUGGCUCCUGCUCCUCCCAGCCUGUUCACACCAAGGAGGGAGGAGGCAGCAGAGGACUUUGAAGGUGGGGCUGGGUGCUGGCUCGGCAGCCUUGUCCUCAACUGCAAAGUAGGGAGAUCCAGCGGCACCCUCACCCCAUCCUGGCCCAGCUGAGGAGCAAAUGAAGCCCAAGGAGGGGACGUGCCCUGUGUGCUGACAUUCUGGAUUUCAUCCCUCCUAGAAAGUCUGGCCAUGCUGGUGUGGCCCAUAGGUGGGCUCUGGCUUGCCCAGGUUCUCUCAGUUGGAGCCCAUUUGGGGAUCUGAGAUUUGUAACCAAGCUGUGUGGCCGCAAGCAGUAACCUCCGUUUUCCAGGCCUCAGUGUUCGGCUCUGUGUAUGGGCGCACCCCAAAACUCCUGCUCCUGCCCCAUGGCUCACAGGGAGUGUGUGCUGGGCUCGGUGCUAGGAGAGCGAGUAGGCCUGGGUGUGGCUAGGGGCGUCCUCUGUGGGCAGGGCCGCGAUCGCCUGGCAGGACUGUCCUCAUGACAGUGUUACAACGCUGGCUUGUAAGCCUUGGGGCCAAAGCCGAGAGGUUCCACUGCGCGCCUCUGGCUCUCUGGUAACUUCUAGGGUCAUUUUGCAUUUACUGGUGUGUCCUGUGUGCCGCCCCCUUGCUGGUCUCCUUGGUAACUCACCCUUAUCAGAUCCCUGUCUGUGCCCCCUCUGAGCGACACUCAGGUCCCAGCACAAGCUGCAGGCAGCCUCCAGGUAACUUGCUUUUCGGUAAGAUGGGGUUUGGGGUUUUUUAAAAACAGAUUUCGUUUCUCUGAUAACAGAGCCCUUGAGAGAGUGAGGAGACAGCACCGGAAACAGUACCCACACCGCUGUUUCAAUAUGAAGCAGGCGGUUGAGGGGCUGAGUUGGCAGCCAAUAGGGGAGAGGCCACUCAGUGGGGAAACUGAGACUCAGAGAGCAAAAGGGACUGUUUCUGAAGCUGCCCAGAAAGAGACUGGAUGGGUGCAGGAAUUAUUUUAUUUUUCCUAACCACUGCCACUGCCACUGCCACUACCACAUGCAGGAGACUUGUUAUGCUUCUUAAAGGGUGACAAGCAACUUGUGUGCAAAUUAUCUCGUUUAAUUUACCAGUGAACCCUGAGAGGCAGGGACUGUUUGCAUCUCCCCUUGACACCCCUUGUGCAUGGUUCUGGUGACAGGUGAUCACUAGACCAUGCAACAGUAGACUGUUGGUGGCAGGAUUUGAACUCAGGCCUCCCACUGUCCUUGGUCACCCUGCUGUGCCCCAGUCCCUGGGCUGCCCAAUGCAGCAGCGGGACAUCUUCCUCUUUCUAGAAGGUGUGGGUGCAGAGGAUCUUCUGUAUUGGGGAGAUAAAGGAGCCCGUUUGGGAUGAUUUUUAUCAGCUCUAGCAAGCUGGUUUGACUUACAGGAAAAAGCCGAUUUGCAUUUGGGGAGAAGCUGCAUGUUAAGGCUGCGGUGAGCACCGGGCGGAUUUAUAAAUAAACAGUGGGCUAAGGGCAUUGUCUGUCCCCAGCCAUACAAUGCUGGCCUCAUAUUGACACCACAGCCUGUUCUGCACGUCAUGGCUGCCCUUUGGGCAGAAAGGCAUGCUUGAGUAAGAGAAGCCACUGGAAAUGCCAAGGAGCCCAGCCUCCGACCCAGUGUCCUGGGCAUCCCAAGCCCCAGCAAGUGCAGAGCUGCUGGUGAUGACAAAAGGGACAUUCGAGGCCUGGGGCCUCCUGUAGACCCUGAGGGAGCCCUUGACUGGGUCUGGGAGUCUGGAUCUGGUACUGAGCCCAGUCUGAGCCCACAUGCCGCCCCAGCAGGCUUCCUGGCUCCUGAGGCCUUGAUCUUUGGCUCUGAAGUGAGUCCUUCUCUCCUCCCAGUCUCCUUUGAGAAUCUAGUGAGAUGAAGGCAACAGGAGAUGGACCAGGUGUCCCUGCCCUGCCAGCACAGUGGGUGACUCUGGACAAGUCCAGGGCCUCUCUGGGCCUCACUGGGCCUCACUGUCCUCUUUAGAAGGCAAUGAAGCUGCAUGCUGGUCAGAAGUCCAGGACCUGUGGGGGCUGCUCCUGCACCUGGGGGGACCCUGAGAGGUCUGUUCCUGAACACUGGGGACCCCAGGAGUACUGCUUACACUCCUUCCUCGGCAUACAGGUACUCCCUCCAGCCUGGAUUCAUAUCCCUUGUCUUCCAUCCUGGGACCUCAGGCAUCCGAGGUCCACUCUCAGCACUCCCUCUUUAUGGGUGUAGUCGGAACAAUUGGGGUGGUUAGGAGGAUGAAAUAUAGUAAUGUAUGGUUAGUGCUCAGCAUAAAGCCGGCCCCAUGGUGAAUGUUCAUAAAUAAAUUAUGUCAGUAAUAUUUAUUUCAGGGGGAAAAAACCUGUUUUCAAGGCAGAGCACUAUCUACUAAGUUGAAUAUUCUCCUGAUUUAAUUCCAGGUGGUACUAAAUAACAAUAAUAGCCAUCACGCCCAUGGCUGGAAGGCUGCCCCAUGAGGCCAACGCUUAGCCCCACAGGCCUCCUGACGGUGGCCCUCCUGGUGCCCAGCUGACCUCCCUGUGUAGUUAAUCAUGGUUUUGUCUCUUAUCUGGCUGCUCUGAGGAUAGACGUGAAGUAUCACCUGUCCCUCCGUGCGCCUGGCCAUCACCUCAGGCCUGGGAUGCCUUAACUAGUGCCACCUUGAGGCAGCCCCCCCAUACCCAUUCACCCAAAGACCCCCCUAGACCCCUGCAUGCCCAGGUACCACAAAUCUUUCCUCCUCCGAGGCCUGUCCUCAUUCUAGGUUUCUCUUGGGUCUCUGUCUUGGGGUUGCUGUCUGGUGUCCCGGAACCGAAGUCACCAUGGUCAGUGAGGACCAUUAGCAGAGAGCAGCAUUAAAGGCCCUUUGGGUGUCCUGCUCCUGGGGACUUAGGGAUACCUCUCCUUGGUCCUGAACCUAAAGGCCCGAGAGACAGGUGCUCCCCCAUCACCUCUAACACCUGUUUAGUGGUAGAGGCGAUCAGGCAAAACAUAAAGCACUCAUGUGUUUUGCUUAAUGUGGGGCUGGGAUUUGAACCUGGCUCCUGACCUGACCAAAAGCCCACAGCUACCUGCUCCCACCUGCUGCCUCCAUGGACUCCUGGGGAAAGCGGAAUGUGGAACAGGUCCGUAGGGAGGGCCAGCAAGUCCCUAGGGGUGAGUGCUUUCGAAGGGAGCCGGGCGUGGGAGGUUUCUCAGACCUCCGGGAGUGCAGCCGGGGCUGGAAGAGGUCCCGGGGCUUGGGAACCAGCAGCCAUCUUCAGCCAGACCCUACCCACUCUCAACAGGGACCUGGCAGGGGCCAGCACCCUCCUAGGCUCUUGGGUCAGAACAGAGACCAGAGCAGACAAGAUCCCUGUCUGCAGGAGUCAAAGGGAGAAGUUCCUUUAGCCAACUGGGACCCUUCUAUAGAUUUGCCAAGUGCUCAGAAAGAAGCUAGGUGCUGGAUGGGAAAUUCCAGGAGGUGGGCGGGGAGCCUUUAUAUAAGGAAAGCUUUUCCAAGAGGGGGCCACUUGAUGAUGGAGGUAGGAAGGGGACAGCAUUGCCAGGGCCAAGAAACUGAAAGCAGGCCUGGGUGGCUGGGGACAAAGGGCCAGGGACACAGCAGCUGGGGACGAAGUAGACCCCACGCACACCCUUCAACUUCACUUGGCCCCAGAAACAACAGUGCUGCCAGGCCUGCACCGGAUGCGGCCCAGGUCCAGACAUGGCCAGCACUGCUGGUGGGUUCCACGUGGGGCCUGCUCCCUGCCCAGACAGGGGCACAUGACAAUGACAUCAUGGCUAUUUCUGCCUGCCGCUGGCCCCCUCCCAUCUUGGUAGCAUGAAUGGGAGGCCUGGGUCAGCUCUUGCUCUGCUUUGCUGAAUACCACCUCCUACUCCUGUGUCACUGAGGGCAGAAGCUAAUGCCAAGGGGCACAAGGGCCAUUGCCUCAGGAUCUCCAGAUAAGUGCAGGUUCCCAGCCUGGGGUCACCCUGGCCCAUACCCUUUAUUUAUUUACUCUGGUCCUUGCUCAGAGCCCAGAAGCGAGCUGCCUGGAAUGAAAUGUGAAGAACUCGAAAUGAUAAUGAAAUCAAUUGGACUGUUUCCCCAGUAAUUCUAGAGACUGACGCAUCAUUAAUGUUGGUAAUACAGAGCCUGUCAGAUCACAAACUUCUCAAUAAAUGUGCAGCUGGCAAGCUCUGAUAGAAAUUGGAGGCAAGCAGAGAAUGAGAUUUGGGGCCUUUGAUAUAUGGGGUGUCAGUGGCAUGGUGAAGUUUUUAUCAAUUUCUGUCACUUUGGGCUUUUGUGCUCACUACAUAUGUGGUCUCCGUAGCACCUCUUAGAGGCUGCCUGGAUGCUAACUGCACCCCCACCCAAUAGUGUAAGGAAGAGGAGCUGGUGGGGGGCCUUGACAUGCACCCUCACCCUUCUGUGGGGCCCCUUCCCACGAGCUUCUCAGGCCCGUGAGCCAGAGGGCUUGAACCUGAGACGCCUGUGGGUGUUGCAGCCACUCCACAGCCUUGAGUCUGUCCCUGUGAAUUAAAGACACCCCUAGGCCCCAUCCAGGGUACGCCAGCUGCCUGGAUGGAAGCCUAGGGUUUGGGAGUGUAGGGGUGGUUUCUCGGCCAUUCCUCCCAAUGGAUCAAGAGUCAGGG